AGUCAGGGGCAGUAAGGCAGGUUAUUAUCAGGUUAGUGGAGAAAGAGGCCAGGCUAGAAAGAGACCAAGGCUGCUGAGAGAUAAAAGGCUGAGAGGGAAACACAGCUGGGUGGGGGAUGGGAGGAGGAGGAGAGGAAGACAGGUGCAGGUGAGAGGGAAACACAGCUGGGUGGGGGAUGGGAGGAGGAGGAGAGGAGGACAGGUGCAGGUGAGAGGGAAACACAGCUGGGUGGGGGAUGGGAGGAGGAGGAGAGGAAGACAGGUGCAGGUGAGAGGGAAACACAGCUGGGUGGGGGAUGGGAGGAGGAGGAGAGGAAGACAGGUGCAGGUGAGAGGGAAACACAGCUGGGUGGGGGAUGGGAGGAGGAGGAGAGGAAGACAGGUGCAGGUGAGAGGGAAACACAGCUGGGUGGGGGAUGGGAGGAGGAGGAGAGGAAGACAGGUGCAGGUGAGAGGGAAACACAGCUGUGUGGGGGAUGGGAGGAGGAGGAGAGGAAGACAGGUGCAUGUGAGAGGGAAACACAGCUGGGUGGGGGAUGGGAGGAGGAGGAGAGGAAGACAGGUGCAGGUGAGAGGGAAACACAGCUGGGUGGGGGAUGGGUGGAGGAGGAGAGGAAGACAGGUGCAGGUGAGAGGGAAACACAGCUGGGUGGGGGAUGGGAGUAGGAGGAGAGGAAGACAGGUGCAGGUGAGAGGGAAACACAGCUGGGUGGUGGAUGGGAGGAGGAGGAGAGGAAGACAGGUGCAGGUGAGAGGGAAACACAGCUGGGUGGGGGAUGGGUGGAGGAGGAGAGGAGGACAGGUGCAGGUGAGAGGGAAACACAGCUGGGUGGGGGAUGGGAAGAGGAGGAGAGGAAGACAGGUGCAGGUGAGAGGGAAACACAGCUGGAUAUGGGGAUGGGAGGAGGAGGAGAGGAAGACAGGUGCAGGUGAGAGGGAAACACAGCUGGAUAUGGGGAUGGGAGGAGGAGGAGAGGAAGACAGGUGCAGGUGAGAGGGAAACACAGCUGGGUGGGGGAUGGGAGGAGGAGGAGAGGAAGACAGGUGCAGGUGAGAGGGAAACACAGCUGGGUGGGGGAUGGGAGGAGGAGGAGAGGAAGACAGGUGCGAGGGCAGGUCAAGUGUGAGGGAAGAUGUUCGGUUGAGGGUGGAAGACAGGCUCUGAGGUGCACGAGAUAAGGUUUCUCAUUAGGUUGUAAAGGGGUAAAGAUGGGGUUGCAGGUGCAGGUGAUUAGGUGUGUGUGUGUUUACGUAGGUAUGUGGGCUUAGUAUAAAGGGGGUAGAGGAGUAGGGGAGGUAGCAGUCUCAUGAGAGUGAUG
This is a long non-coding RNA of Oncorhynchus keta (chum salmon), 1319 nucleotides long. RefSeq lists it as uncharacterized. NCBI's taxonomy places the organism in Eukaryota, Metazoa, Chordata, Actinopteri, Salmoniformes, Salmonidae. The transcript has 3 exons. The record is from RefSeq and is a predicted model, not a curated record.